GAUUACACGCAAGACGGAACCGUCGAUCUCCGGGGAAACCCUGUCCGGCGAUCCAAGCGUGGCAGAUGGACCGCCUGCUCCUUUAUCGUUGUAUAUGAAGUCUUCGAGAGGAUGGCAUACUUUGGAAUCUCAUCCAACCUCGUCGUGUACUUGACCACGAAGCUUCACCAAGGCACGGUCCAAUCGGCCAACAACGUCACCAACUGGGUCGGCACCAGUUGGAUCACUCCCAUCCUCGGCGCGUAUGUCGCGGACGCCCAUCUCGGCCGCUAUUGGACCUUCGUCAUUGGGUCGGGCAUCUAUCUCGCGGGCAUGUUGGUGUUGACCCUGGCCGUCUCGCUUCCGCGGACUCAAGCCGCCUCCGUGCUCGGCACCCAAUGCCAGCAAUUGCAAGAAGGCCUCCCUGCUGCAACUCGCCGUCUUCUACGGUGGGCUGUACACGCUGGUGGUCGGGACCAGCGGGACCAAGCCCAACAUCUCGACGAUCGGUGCGGACCAGUUCGACGAUUUCGACACGAAGGAGAAGGCCCACAAGCUCUCCUUCUUCGACUGGUGGAUGUUCAGCGUCUUCUUCGGGACCCUCUUUGGCAACACCGUCCUCGUGUAUAUCCAGGACGAUGUGGGCUGGGCUCUUGGGUACGGUCUCCCUACCCUUGCGCUCGCGGUCGCGAUUGCUAUCUUCCUUGCGGGCACCCCUAGGUACCGGCACCGGGUGCCUGCAGGCAGCCCAAUCACGAGGAUGGCGCGGGUCAUCGUGGCCGCCACGAGGAAGUGGAAGGUGCAGAUCCCAAGCAAUCCGAACGAGCUCUAUGAGCUCGACCAGCAAGAGUAUACUGGAAAGGGGAAAUUUAAGAUCGACUUGACACCAACAUUGAGAUUCUUGAACAAAGCAUGCGUCCGAACCGGCUCGACUUCUCUGUGGAAGCUAAGCUCGGUCACCCAAGUCGAGGAGACGAAACAAAUGCUGCAGAUGAUCCCAAUCCUGCUCGCGACUUUCGUCCCAAGCUGCAUGAUGGCUCAAAUCAAUACCCUCUUCGUCAAGCAAGGAACUACCUUAGACAGAAGCAUGGGCAGCUUCAAGAUCCCCCCGGCGAGUCUAGCUGGAUUCACGACCGCACCGAUGCUCGUGUGCAUCGUGGUGUACGACCGUGUCUUCGUCAAGAUCAUGCGGAGAUGGACCAAGAACCCGAGAGGCAUCAGCCUUCUGCAGAGGAUGGGGAUCGGCCUUCUCCCCCACAUCAUGGUCAUGACCGUGGCGUCGUUCACCGAGAGAUGGAGGCUCCGAGUGGCUAGGGAACACGGUCUGGUCGAAUCGGGAGGGCAAAUCCCGCUGACGAUCUUCAUCCUGCUUCCUCAAUUCGUGCUCAUGGGAGUGGCCGACGGAUUCCUGGAAGUAGCGAAGAUGGAGUUCUUCUACGACCAAGCGCCGGAGAGCAUGAAGAGCCUGGGCACGUCUUAUGCUAUGGCCACUUUGGGGAUCGGGAACUUCAUCAGCAGCUUCCUACUAUCGACGGUCUCGCGCCUCACCGAGAGGAACGGCCACCACGGGUGGAUACUAGACAACCUGAACGCGUCGCGCCUCGACUAUUACUAUGCCUUCUUUGCAGUACUCACCCUCCUGAAUUUCGCGUUCUUUCUGUUCGUGGCGAAGCACUACGUGUAUCGCGCUGAGGUCUCAGAUUCAAUGGUGAUGCUCGAGGAAGAAUUGAAAGGGGCGGUAUCAGAGAAGGUACAUAACCUGGAAGCGCUGGCGCCAUAG
Eucalyptus grandis is the source of this 1759-nucleotide RNA transcript. It is a transcript of the gene named protein NRT1/ PTR FAMILY 5.2, with no coding region annotated. The transcript is spliced from 4 exons. Lineage: Eukaryota; Viridiplantae; Streptophyta; Magnoliopsida; Myrtales; Myrtaceae. The record is from RefSeq and is a predicted model, not a curated record.